This 442-nucleotide ribosomal RNA is filed under the name uncultured bacterium. Its description in RNAcentral is "partial 16S ribosomal RNA". It matches the Rfam family "Bacterial small subunit ribosomal RNA", at positions 338 to 795 of the family's 1533-position model. The record is from RNAcentral.
CCUACGGGUGGCAGCAGUGGGGAAUAUUGCACAAUGGGGGGAACCCUGAUGCAGCAAUGCCGCGUGAAGGAUGAAGGUUUUCGGAUUGUAAACUUCUUUUGUACGGGACGAAGAAAGUGACGGUACCGUAAGAAUAAGCCACGGCUAACUACGUGCCAGCAGCCGCGGUAAUACGUAGGUGGCAAGCGUUAUCCGGAUUUACUGGGUGUAAAGGGCGAGUAGGCGGGAUUGCAAGUCAGAUGUGAAAACUAUGGGCUCAACCCGGGCCGGCCGUUGAAACUGGGGAUCUUGAGUGGGCGAGAAGUAUGCGGAAUGCGUGGUGUAGCGGUGAAAUGCAUAGAUAUCACGCAGAACUCCGAUUGCGAAGGCAGCAUACCGGCGCCCGACUGACGCUGAGGCACGAAAGCGUGGGGAUCGAACAGGAUUAGAUACCCUUGUAGUC